AUGACUAGAGGACCCCGGGAUCUAGGAUUAGCGAUGCAAGCCACCAUUUUACAUAGGUGUUGGGAUUGGAACUCAAGUGCCCGUGCUUGUGCAGGAAGCAUUUUACCCACUGUGUCGUCUCCCCAGCCCUUCACAUGCUGCUUGCUAUGUUUUGACUGGAUCCCAAGUACUGCCCUGCUCAAGGCUAAGUCUCAUUUCCAUCCAAGGGCGAAGGAAGCUAAGGCUGGGAAAGCCAAGCAGAGGCAUGGUCAUCUUUCCAAGCUCAGACCAAAUAUCAACAUCUCUGAAAAGGCCUCCAUCUUUUCCUGUAGCUGACAGAACUUCCUAAAGAUGACUGCAGCAACGUCUCCCAGACUUCUCUGCUCUGAACAUCUGUACAAGAGAUACCAUGUCAGCCAGGCACAGCACUUAACUCUCCUGAAAGUCAACUACCACAUAAAAAGUGCAUCUACCCUGAGACCACCCAGCUGCCAGCAUUGGGCAUCAGACCCGGCAGUGAACAAGCCAUGCAUGGGGUGUAGAGAUGGAUGCAUGAGAAAGCAACAGAGGCAGAGUGUGCGGUGUAGGCGGAGUGUGCGAUGUAGAUGGAGUGUGCGGUGUAGGCGGAAUGUGUGCUGUAGGCUCUAGGUUCGGGGCAUGAAGCUUGCUGUGCAUUUUCUUUGUUUUUUGUUGUUGUUGUUGUUGUUUGUUUGUUUUGUUUUGUUUUUACAAAACCUGGAGAUUGUGAUGGUUUGAAUAUGCUUGGUCCAGGAAGUGGCACUAUUAGGAGGUGUGGCCUUGUUGGAGGAAAGUUUUUGUUGUGGGUGUGGGCUUUAAGACUCUCAUCCUCCGGGCGUGGUGGCACACGCCUUUAAUCCCAGCACUCGAGAGGCAGAGGCAGGCAGAUUUCUGAGUUCGAGGCCAGCCUGGUCUACAGAGUGAGUUCCAGGACAGCCAGGGCUACACAGAGAAACCCUGUCUUGAAAAACAAAACAAACAAAUAAACAAAAAACAAAAACCA
This 1000-nucleotide long non-coding RNA is filed under the name Mus spicilegus (steppe mouse). RNAcentral describes it as "lncRNA (ENSMSIG00000027842.1)". The record is from RNAcentral. Lineage: Eukaryota; Metazoa; Chordata; Mammalia; Rodentia; Muridae.